GAUGAACGCUGGCGGCGUGCUUAACACAUGCAAGUCGAACGAUGAAGCCCAGCUUGCUGGGUGGAUUAGUGGCGAACGGGUGGGUAACACGUGAGUAACCUGCCCUUGACUCUGGGAUAAGCCUGGGAAACUGGGUCUAAUACUGGAUAUGACUUCUCAUCGCAUGGUGGGGGGUGGAAAGAUUUAUUGGUCUUGGAUGGACUCGCGGCCUAUCAGCUUGUUGGUGAGGUAAUGGCUCACCAAGGCGACGACGGGUAGCCGGCCUGAGAGGGUGACCGGCCACACUGGGACUGAGACACGGCCCAGACUCCUACGGGAGGCAGCAGUGGGGAAUAUUGCACAAUGGGCGCAAGCCUGAUGCAGCGACGCCGCGUGAGGGAUGACGGCCUUCGGGUUGUAAACCUCUUUCAGUAGGGUAGAAGCGAGAGUGACGGUACCUGCAGAAGAAGCGCCGGCUAACUACGUG
RNAcentral lists this ribosomal RNA (466 nucleotides) under uncultured bacterium. RNAcentral describes it as "partial 16S ribosomal RNA". It matches the Rfam family "Bacterial small subunit ribosomal RNA", at positions 28 to 507 of the family's 1533-position model. The record is from RNAcentral.